Molecule: ribosomal RNA, 391 nt
Filed under: uncultured bacterium
Lineage: Bacteria
Description: bacterial SSU rRNA
Rfam family: Bacterial small subunit ribosomal RNA
Source: RNAcentral
UAUUGCACAAUGGGGGAAACCCUGAUGCAGCGACGCCGCGUGAGUGAAGAAGUAUUUCGGUAUGUAAAGCUCUAUCAGCAGGGAAGAUAAUGACGGUACCUGUGUAAGAAGCCCCGGCUAACUACGUGCCAGCAGCCGCGGUAAUACGUAGGGGGCAAGCGUUAUCCGGAUUUACUGGGUGUAAAGGGAGCGUAGACGGCAUGGCAAGUCUGAAGUGAAAGCCCGGGGCUCAACCGCGGGACUGCUUUGGAAACUGUUAAGCUGGAGUGCAGGAGAGGUAAGUGGAAUUCCUAGUGUAGCGGUGAAAUGCGUAGAUAUUAGGAGGAACACCAGUGGCGAAGGCGGCUUACUGGACUGUAACUGACGUUGAGGCUCGAAAGCGUGGGGAGCA